CCUACGGGUGACAGCAGUGAGGGAUAUUGGUCAAUGGGCGCGAGCCUGAACCAGCCAAGUAGCGUGAAGGAUGACUGCCCUACGGGUUGUAAGCUUCUUUUAUAAAGGAAUAAAGUGAGGCACGUGAGCCUUUUUGUAUGUACUUUAUGAUUAAGGAUCGGCUAACUCCGUGCCAGCAGCCGCGGUAAUACGGAGGAUCCGAGCGUUAUCCGGAUUUAGUGGGGUUAAAGGGAGCGUAGAUGGGUUGUUAAGUCAGUUGUGAAAGUUUGCGGCUCAACCGUAAAAUUGCAAUUGAUACUGGCAGUCUUGAGUACAGUUGAGGUAGGCGGAAUUCGUGGUGUAGCGGUGAAAUGCUUAGAUAUUACGAAGAACUCCGAUUGCGAAGGCAGCUUACUAAACUGCCACUGACAUUGAUGCUCGAAAGUGUGGGUAUCAAACAGGAUUAGAUACCCCGGUAGUC
This 460-nucleotide ribosomal RNA is filed under the name uncultured bacterium. RNAcentral describes it as "partial 16S ribosomal RNA". It matches the Rfam family "Bacterial small subunit ribosomal RNA", at positions 338 to 795 of the family's 1533-position model. The record is from RNAcentral.